GAUGAACGCUAGCGGCAGGCCUAACACAUGCAAGUCGAGGGAGAGGUUACCUUCGGGUAACCAAAACCGGCGCACGGGUGCGUAACGCGUAUACAAUCUGCCUUUCACAUAGGGAUAGCCCGAAGAAAUUUGGAUUAAUACCUAAUGGUAUAUAAGAGCGGCAUCGUUUUUAUAUUAAAGCUACGGUGGUGAAAGAUGAGUAUGCGUUCUAUUAGCUAGUUGGAGAGGUAACGGCUCCCCAAGGCGACGAUAGAUAGGGGUUCUGAGAGGGAUGUCCCCCACACUGGUACUGAGAUACGGACCAGACUCCUACGGGAGGCAGCAGUGAGGAAUAGUGGACAAUGGUCGGAAGACUGAUCCAGCCAUGCCGCGUGCAGGAUGAAGGUCCUAUGGAUGGUAAACUGCUUUUGUAAGGGAAGAAUAAGGAGUACGUGUACUUUGAUGACGGUACCUUACGAAUAAGCAUCGGCUAACUCCGUG
RNAcentral lists this ribosomal RNA (480 nucleotides) under uncultured bacterium. RNAcentral's name for it is "partial 16S ribosomal RNA". It matches the Rfam family "Bacterial small subunit ribosomal RNA", at positions 28 to 507 of the family's 1533-position model. The record is from RNAcentral.